GACGAACGCUGGCAGCGUGCUUAACACAUGCAAGUCGAACGGAAAGGCCCUGCUUUUGUGGGGUGCUCGAGUGGCGAACGGGUGAGUAACACGUGAGUAACCUGCCCUUGACUUUGGGAUAACUUCAGGAAACUGGGGCUAAUACCGGAUAGGAGCUCCUGCUGCAUGGUGGGGGUUGGAAAGUUUCGGCGGUUGGGGAUGGACUCGCGGCUUAUCAGCUUGUUGGUGGGGUAGUGGCUUACCAAGGCUUUGACGGGUAGCCGGCCUGAGAGGGUGACCGGCCACAUUGGGACUGAGAUACGGCCCAGACUCCUACGGGAGGCAGCAGUGGGGAAUAUUGCACAAUGGGCGGAAGCCGGAUGCAGCAACGCCGCGUGCGGAUGACGGCCUUCGGGUUGUAAACCGCUUUCGCCUGUGACGAAGCGUGAGUGACGGUAAUGGGUAAAGAAGCACCGGCUAACUACGUG
RNAcentral lists this ribosomal RNA (467 nucleotides) under uncultured bacterium. RNAcentral's name for it is "partial 16S ribosomal RNA". It matches the Rfam family "Bacterial small subunit ribosomal RNA", at positions 28 to 507 of the family's 1533-position model. The record is from RNAcentral.